Molecule: ribosomal RNA, 898 nt
Filed under: uncultured bacterium
Lineage: Bacteria
Description: bacterial SSU rRNA
Rfam family: Bacterial small subunit ribosomal RNA
Source: RNAcentral
GGAUGAACGCUAGCUACAGGCUUAACACAUGCAAGUCGAGGGGCAGCGGGAUUGAAGCUUGCUUCAAUUGCCGGCGACCGGCGCACGGGUGAGUAACGCGUAUCCAACCUUCCGUACACUCAGGGAUAGCCUCUCGAAAGAAAGAUUAAUACCUGAUGGUAUGAUGAGAUUGCAUGAUAGCAUCAUUAAAGAUUUAUCGGUGUACGAUGGGGAUGCGUUCCAUUAGGUAGUAGGCGGGGUAACGGCCCACCUAGCCAACGAUGGAUAGGGGUUCUGAGAGGAAGGUCCCCCACAUUGGAACUGAGACACGGUCCAAACUCCUACGGGAGGCAGCAGUGAGGAAUAUUGGUCAAUGGACGAGAGUCUGAACCAGCCAAGUAGCGUGAAGGAUGAAGGUCCUACGGAUUGUAAACUUCUUUUAUAAGGGAAUAAACCCUCCCACGUGUGGGAGCUUGUAUGUACCUUAUGAAUAAGCAUCGGCUAACUCCGUGCCAGCAGCCGCGGUAAUACGGAGGAUGCGAGCGUUAUCCGGAUUUAUUGGGUUUAAAGGGAGCGCAGACGGGUCGUUAAGUCAGCUGUGAAAGUUUGGGGCUCAACCUUAAAAUUGCAGUUGAUACUGGCGUCCUUGAGUGCGGUUGAGGUGUGCGGAAUUCGUGGUGUAGCGGUGAAAUGCUUAGAUAUCACGAAGAACUCCGAUUGCGAAGGCAGCACACUAAUCCGUAACUGACGUUCAUGCUCGAAAGUGUGGGUAUCAAACAGGAUUAGAUACCCUGGUAGUCCACACGGUAAACGAUGGAUACUCGCUGUUGGCGAUAUACUGUCAGCGGCUUAGCGAAAGCGUUAAGUAUCCCACCUGGGGAGUACGCCGGCAACGGUGAAACUCAAAGGAAUUGACGGA